Molecule: non-coding RNA, 678 nt
Organism: Nicotiana tabacum (common tobacco)
Lineage: Eukaryota; Viridiplantae; Streptophyta; Magnoliopsida; Solanales; Solanaceae
Source: RefSeq, a predicted model, not a curated record
UCAAAUAGGCUAAACUGACACCUUUGGGAGAAAGAAUGCCUUCACCAAAUAAAUUGAUAGCUGUGGCAAUAGACAAAGAUAGAGGAAGCCAAAUUGCUCUGAAAUGGAAAAUUGAUCAUCUUUUAGCCAAAGGCCAGACAGUUCUUCUAAUUCAUGUCAAAUCACCUCCUCUUGGUUCCCCAAGAUCAAACUAGAUUUAUGAUGAAGCUGGAUGUAGAAAUUUUAAUGAGUUGGAUUUGCAAACAAAGGAAAUGUUUCUUCCGUAUUUUGUACACGAAAAGAUGAUCUGAUAGGAAUAGAGUCCAAUAUUCAGAGCCUGUGGCUCAUUAUGGGAGAUUUCAAUGCAAUACUUCAACUUGAUGAUAGAAUGGGAGAAAGUGCAAUACACGAUAUAGCGGUGAAAGACUUUGAGGAGUUCUCGGGGUCAAUUGGUCUGACAGUGAUGAAAACAAUGGGAAGAUUCUAUACCUGGACUAAUUCACACAUUCACAGCAGGAUUGAUAGAGCCCUGGUCAAUCCUUCUUGAAUGUCUCUAUGGCCCAGCUUCUAGUUGAAGCUAAAGAUCAUUAUUUUUCUGACUAUUCCAUGUUUUACAUUACAUUCAGUAGGAACCCAAGAAAGGUGACAAGACCCUUCAGGUUCUUGAAUCACUUGACCGUUCAUAUGGAAUUUCUUAAU